GAUGAACGCUGGCGGCGUGCCUAACACAUGCAAGUCGAGCGAACAGACGAGGAGCUUGUGCCUCUGACGUUAGCGGCGGACGGGUGAGUAACACGUGUAUAACCUACCUAUCAGUGUGGGAUAUAUUCGGGAAACCGGAGAUAAUACGGGAUAAUAUUUUGAACCGUAUGGUUCAUUAGAGAAAGACGGCUCUGUUGUCACUUAUAGAUGGAUCCGCGCCGCAUUAGCUAGUUGUGAAGGUAAACGCUUACCAAGGCGGCGAUGCGUAGCCGACCUGAGAGGGUGAUAGGCCACACUGGAACAGAAACACGGUCCAGAGUCCUGCGGAAGGCAGCAGUAGGGAAUCUUCCGCAAUGGGCGAGAGCCUGACGGAACAACGCCGCGUGAGAGGUGACAGUCUUAGGAUCGUAAAACUCUGUUAUUAGAGGAGAACCAAUGUGUAAGUAACUGUAGCCGUCUUGACGGUACCUAGUCAGAAAGCCACGGCUAACUACGUG
RNAcentral lists this ribosomal RNA (497 nucleotides) under uncultured bacterium. Its description in RNAcentral is "partial 16S ribosomal RNA". It matches the Rfam family "Bacterial small subunit ribosomal RNA", at positions 28 to 507 of the family's 1533-position model. The record is from RNAcentral.